CCCUAUGGGGUGCAGCAGGCGAGAAAACUUUGCAAUGUGCGAAAGCACGACAAGGUUAAUCCGAGUGAUUUCUGCUAAAGAAAUCUUUUACCAGUUAUAAAACCACUGGUGAAUAAGGGGUGGGCAAGUUCUGGUGUCAGCCGCCGCGGUAAAACCAGCACCUCAAGUGGUCAGGAUGAUUAUUGGGCCUAAAGCAUCCGUAGCCGGUUUUGUUAGUUUUCGGUUAAAUCCAUAUGCUCAACAUAUGGGCCGCCGAAAAUACUGCAAAACUAGGGAGUGGGAGAGGUAGACGGUACUCAGUAGGAAGGGGUAAAAUCCUUUGAUCUAUUGAUGACCACCUGUGGCGAAGGCGGUCUACCAGAACACGUUCGACGGUGAGGGAUGAAAGCUGGGGGAGCAAACCGGAUUAGAUACCCGGGUAGUCCCAGCUGUAAACGAUGCAGACUCGAUGAUGCAUUGGCAUAUAGCCAGUGCAGUGUCGCAGGGAAGCCGUUAAGUCUGCCGCCUGGGAAGUACGUACGCAAGUAUGAAACUUAAAGGAAUUGGCGGGGGAGCACCACAAGGGGUGAAGCCUGCGGUUCAAUUGGAGUCAACGCCAGAAAUCUUACCCGGAGAGACAGCAGAAUGAAGGUCAAGCUGAAGACUUUACCAGACAAGCUGAGAAGAAGUGCAUGGCCA
This 678-nucleotide ribosomal RNA is filed under the name uncultured marine group I thaumarchaeote. RNAcentral's name for it is "bacterial SSU rRNA". It matches the Rfam family "Archaeal small subunit ribosomal RNA", at positions 321 to 1000 of the family's 1478-position model. The record is from RNAcentral. Lineage: Archaea; Thermoproteati; Nitrososphaerota.